AAAACGCUGGCGGGAUGCUUUACACAUGCAAAAGUCGAACGGCAGCACGGACUUCGGUCUGGUGGCGAGUGGCGAACGGGUGAGUAAUGUAUCGGAACGUGCCUAGUAGCGGGGGGAUAAUCACGCCAGCAGCUUAAUACCGCAUACGCCCUUCGGGGAAAGCGGGGACCUUUCUCUGGCCCGCACUAUUAGAGCGGCCGAUAUCGGAUUAGCUAGUUGGUGGGGUAACGGCUCAACAAGGCGACGAUCCGGGGGCUGCCUGAGAGGACGACCAGCCACACUGGGACUGAGACACGGCCCAGACUCCUACGGGAGGCAGCAGUGGGGAAUUUGGACAAUGGGGAAACCCUGAUCCAGCCAUCCCGCGUGUGCGAUGAAGGCUUUCGGGUUGUAAAGCACUUUUUGGCAGGAAAGAAACGGCACGGGAUAAUACCCCGUGCAACUGACGGUACCCGCAGAAUAAGCACCGGCUAACUACGUGCCAGCAGCCGCGGUAAUACGAAGUGCAAGCGUUAAUCGGAAUUACUGGGCGUAAAGCGUGCGCAGGCGGUUCGGAAAGAAAGAUGAAAUCCCAGAGCUUAACUUUGAACUGCAUUUUUAACUACCGAGCUAGAGCAGGUCAGAGGGAGGUGGAAUUCCGCGUGUAGCAGUGAAAUGCGUAGAUAUGCGGAGGAACACCGAUGGCGAAGGCAGCCUCCUGGGAUAACACUGACGCUCAUGCACGAAAGCGUGGGAGCAAACAGGAUUAGAUACCCUGGUAGUCCACGCCCUAAACGAUGUCAACUAGCUGUUGGGGCCUUCGGGCCUUGGUAGCGCAGCUAACGCGUGAAGUUGACCGCCUGGGAGACACGUAAGAUUAAAACUCAAAGGAAUUGACGGGGACUGCGUACGCGGUGGAUGAUGUGAUUAAUUCGAUGCAACGCGAAAACCUUACCUACCCUUGACAUGUCUGGAAUCCCGAAGAGAUUUGGGAGUGCUCGCAAGAGAACCGGAACACAGGUGCUGCAUGGCUGUCGUCAGCUCGUUGAUGAUGUUGGGUUAAGUCCUGCAACGAGCGCAACCCUUGUCAUUAGUUGCUACGAAAGGGCACUCUAAUGAGACUGCCGGUGACAAACCGAGGAAGGUGGGGAUGACGUCAAGUCCUCAUGGCUCUUGCGGUAGGGCUUCACACGUCAUACAAUGGUCGGGACAGAGGGUCGCCAACCCGCGAGGGGGAGCCAAUCCCAGAAACCCGAUCGUAGUCCGGAUCGCAGUCUGCAACUCGACUGCGUGAAGUCGGAAUCGCUAGUAAUCGCGGAUCAGCAUGUCGCGGUGAAUACGUUCCCGGGUCUUGUACACACCGCCCGUCACACCAUGGGAGUGGGUUUUACCAGAAGUGCAUGGCCUCCAACCGUAAGGAGUGGCGAUUACCACGGUAGGAUUCAUGACUGGGGUGAAGUCAACAAGGUAA
Molecule: ribosomal RNA, 1450 nt
Filed under: uncultured Bordetella sp.
Lineage: Bacteria; Pseudomonadati; Pseudomonadota; Betaproteobacteria; Burkholderiales; Alcaligenaceae
Description: partial 16S-23S ribosomal RNA intergenic spacer
Rfam family: Bacterial small subunit ribosomal RNA
Source: RNAcentral